UACGUAGGGGGCAAGCGUUGUCCGGAAUCAUUGGGCGUAAAGAGCGUGUAGGCGGCCCGGUAAGUCCGCUGUGAAAGUCCAGGGCUCAACCCUGGGAUGCCGGUGGAUACUGUCGGGCUCGAGUCCGGAAGAGGAGUGUGGAAUUCCUGGUGUAGCGGUGAAAUGCGCAGAUAUCAGGAAGAACACCCGUGGCUAAGGCGGCUCUCUAGUACGGUACUGACGCUGAGACGCGAAAGCGUGGGGAGCGAACAGG
Molecule: ribosomal RNA, 253 nt
Filed under: uncultured bacterium
Lineage: Bacteria
Description: partial 16S ribosomal RNA
Rfam family: Bacterial small subunit ribosomal RNA
Source: RNAcentral